Molecule: unclassified non-coding RNA, 3461 nt
Filed under: Leishmania donovani
Lineage: Eukaryota; Euglenozoa; Kinetoplastea; Trypanosomatida; Trypanosomatidae
Description: gene:LdHU3.36.0780(CDS-product:Elongation_factor_ G1_mitochondrial_putative)
Source: RNAcentral
CGUAUUUGCUUUUUUCUCACCUACGGCUCUUCUCCGCGCCCUUUCGCAGGAGAGCGCGCAAGGGCUUUUUGUUCUCUAAUUCUGCCCCUUUCCGUGGCACGACAAUGCGCAGAAGCGGCUUGGCCUACAUGCUGCGCAGCAGCGUCCCGCUGCUCGCAACGCCAGCUUUCCUCUCGAAUGUGAGGCACAUGCGCAACAUUGGUAUCAGCGCCCACAUUGAUAGCGGCAAAACGACGCUGAGUGAGCGCAUUCUCUUCUACUCUGGUCGCAUCGGAAAGAUCCACGAGGUGAAGGGCGGCACCGAGGUCGGCGCCACAAUGGACUCUAUGGAGCUUGAGAAAGAGCGUGGCAUCACUAUUCGCUCCGCCGCGACGCAGUGUCGCUGGAAGAACAGCACCAUCAAUAUAAUCGACACGCCCGGCCACGUCGACUUCACCAUCGAAGUGGAGCGCGCCCUUCGCGUGCUGGACGGUGCUAUCUUGCUCAUGUGCGCCGUUGGCGGUGUGCAGAGUCAGACGCUGACGGUAGAUCGCCAGAUGAAGCGUUACGGUGUACCGCGCAUCUGCUUCAUAAACAAGCUCGAUCGCGACAACGCGAACCCACAGCGGGCAGUAAAGCAAGCGCAGGAGCGUCUGGGCAUCAACGCCGUCUUCAUCCAGCUGAACAUGGGCACUGCACAGGACUUCGAAGGCGUCGUCGACCUCAUCGAGGAGAAGGCGGUCUACUUUGAUGGCCCUUUCGGUGAGGCCAUCCGCUACGAACCGGUGCCGAGCUACAUCAAGGAGGACGUGGCUGCCGCACGCAAGGAGCUCGUGAGCCGCCUAGCAGAGUGCGACGAGGAGAUGGAGUUCAUCUUUCUUAAUGACCAGGAGCCGACAGUCGAGCAGAUCCACGCUGCCAUUCGCCGCGCUACCAUAGCCAACAAGUUUGUGCCCGUGAUGGUCGGCUCGGCGUACCGGAACAAGGGCGUGCAGCUGCUCCUGGACGCGGUGGAGCGCUACCUGCCGUCGCCAGUGGAGCGCCACAACUCCGGCUAUCAGGUGAGGCGUGUGAAGGACGAGGAUGGAAACGUGUCGAACGUGAAGGAAGGCGAGGUGGAACUGAUGACGGAUGACGAGAAGCCGCUGGUGGCCCUCGUUUUCAAGAUCGAGGAGACAAAGAAGUCGGGGCUGUCCAAUUACGUGCGGGUGUACCAAGGGAAGAUGCGCAAGGAACACCUGAUGAAUAUCCGCACCGGCAAGAACUUCUUGCCGCCGAAGCUUGUGCGCAUGCACGCGGACAGCGCCGAGGUUGUGGACGAGGUGCGCGCUGGCGACAUCUGUGCCAUUCAGGGUGAGGUGGACGCGUCCUCGGGUGAUACCCUCAUGAAGUCCGGACCGCAGUCUGGCUCGCAGCUCUUCUCGUGCGAGGACAUGUACGUCCCGCCGCGCGUCAUCUCUGCCUCACUCAAGACGAAGGAUGAUAAGGAGCAGUCCAGGGUGCGGGAGCGUAUGCUCGCCUUCAUGCGAGAAGACCCCACCUUUGUGUACUACCGCAACUCGGAGACGAACGAGGACAUUGUGGAGGGCAUGGGUGAGCUGCACCUCGAUAUUUACGUGGAGCGGCUGAAGCGGGAGUAUGGACUGCACGUGGAACUCGGCAAGCCAACGGUCAACUACCGCGAGAUUAUCACGGAGCGGCAGGAUUUCGACUUUGUCUUCAAGCGGCAAAGCGGCGGUGCGGGUCAGUGGGCGCACCUGAAGGGCUUUGUCGAGCCGCUGCCGAUCGAUAUGUCGGUCGAGAAGGGGGUCAAGAACAAAGCGACGACACGAUGCUCCAACGGUGACAUCCGCGAGUCGCUGCAGAAGACGGUGGUGAAGCACCUGGAGCGCAAAAUUUUUGUCAAGGGCGAGCUGAUGCACGCCCCUGUCUGGGGCGUGCACUUUCACUUGAAUGGUGGCGCCAUGCACGAGGUGGACUCGAACGAUCAGGCCUUCAAGAACGCGACCCAGGAGCUGUGGGAAACCUUGCUACCGAAGCUGAAGCCGACGCUUGUGGAGCCGUUCAUGGAUGUGGAGAUGACAGUGCCUGCGGCGAACAUGACUGAUGUGGCGACCGAGUUCUCGAAGCGAGAGGGCGUGGUGACCGAGACCGCUGUAGACGGCCCUGAUGCAGUGAUCCGCGGGGAGACAGCCCUGGACACCAUGUUCGGCUUUAUUUCCGACCUGCGACGACUGACGAAGGGCCAGGGCGACUUCAGCAUGCAGUUUAAGGAAUAUCGGCCGAUGCAGCAGUACAAGGCCCAAAUGCGAAUGGAUGAACGCAACAACGAUCUUGGGCGCAAGCCGUUCAAGCUUUCGGACUAGGGUGCUCCAUCCCCACCCCUUACCACUGAGAGGCCCGCCGGGGGCACAUUCACAGAUACUCUACGGCUUUUUCGUGCCUCCUUCUCGUGUCUUGUAGAAUAGCGCACAGAAACGCUUCUUGAUUCACUGAAGUUACCUUUGUUUCCGUUUUUGUGCUGCCGAUGGCUUGUGUUGACUUUAUAUUUUGCCGUUGUGUCCGUGCAUGCGCCUAGAUAGUGGCGCACGCACACCUCUUCACAGUAGCUUCUCUCUCUCGUUGGCUCCCUUUUCUUGAGAAAGAAAAGAAGCGCUUUAAUGCCGUGGGGGAACGCAUGGUGAACGUAAUGGCGAAGCACUCCGCCUGCGCACGUCCGUAUGUGUAUGUGCUUGUCGGUAGCUAGGGGUGACGCGCUAGUUGACAACUGUGUGCGUAUCUCCCCGACAUGUUCUCACCACGUAGAGACGUUGGCGCUUUACAGAUCAUUUUUUUAUAUUCUCCGUUCUGCGUCUCCAGUAACCCGAACUUAACUAACGAAGAUGAAAAAAAAAACACAAAACAAAAACCCGUACCGCAAGCCUUGAUACUUGAUGGGAGCCACAAAAACAAAACGAGGAAAGCAGGCAAACAACAUAGCAUGGAAUGCCGUGUCACAUGCACGCUGACAGAGGCAUGUGGCUGCAUACUUUCGCAUGGCAUUCUGAGGCAGCGGCCUCAACUGUGGGCAAAGGUGAGAAUUUGGAUGGGGAAGCACCUUCGUGCGGUAGACGGCGCAUGACCCCACGACGUGAGUGAGUGAGCCAGUCGAUAGCUCAAAACGAGUUAUGGUGUGGACGGGCGGCGUGCUGAUGUGGGGACCCCUCCACGAGCGCCAAUCACGUUUUCCCUACUGGCCUGCACGCCGAGCAAUCCUUUCACACCGUCAACCACCCAUACAAGCCCAAACACACAUGCAGGACAACGACAGUAGUGCAGGACCUCUCAUGCCCUUCUUCUCUUGCUUUAUCUGCCUCGCUGCUUUCUUUUUUUUCUCUUGGGUAUCUUCACCUGCUGAUACGUAUUUGGACUUGUACGUGUGACGGCUGUGGCGCCACACUCAUACACACAAAUGAUUGCGGCGCUCGCGUCAACGUUUUGAG